CGUGUCCCUGCCGCGCGUUCGGCCGAGGCGGCGCUCGCGUCGGCGCGCGGGUCCGCUCGGGGGGCGUGCGGCGGCCCCCGGGCCCGCC
RNAcentral lists this transfer RNA (88 nucleotides) under Wenjunlia tyrosinilytica. RNAcentral's name for it is "tRNA-Ala". Lineage: Bacteria; Bacillati; Actinomycetota; Actinomycetes; Kitasatosporales; Streptomycetaceae. The record is from RNAcentral.